Non-coding RNA from Schizosaccharomyces pombe (fission yeast), 769 nucleotides. NCBI's taxonomy places the organism in Eukaryota, Fungi, Ascomycota, Schizosaccharomycetes, Schizosaccharomycetales, Schizosaccharomycetaceae. The record is from the annotation of a GenBank genome assembly.
UAAUUUCCUCGGUUUCACGCUCAAUAUCAGGAUGAACAAGGGCCACAUAGUCGUUGCAAGCCACAAUGUUUCCUAGAGCUGAAAGUCGUUCAUCAACACGUUGGAUUUUGACAGGAUCUGGAAGAGAAUUGCGGAGGUGCUGUAGUUCAUUAUCGGUGGUAGAAGAGGGAACUAACAGACCUUUUCUAUUACCACAUGUCAAACGACCAAUGAUUCUGGUUCCUCCAAUUGUGGUAUGAACAACGGGUACAACAUCACCUAACUCUGCCUCGAACACGCUGUUAUAAAAGUUAGUGAAAAGUUGAUAAAUGUAAAAAAUGCCAAAAAAAAUAAUUUGUCGAGCUGCAUCGAGUCAAGGAAUAAUAAAGGUAAUGAACAGCAAACCGCCAGAGUUUAAGUAGUGGUUUGCAUUUAUGUAGCAAAGUCUCUUUUACUCAAUUAAAGAGUAGUUAGGCUACAUCAUUCACAUAUGUGCUAUUUAUUUUUCUCAUAAUACGUUCGACUGGUUAAGGAUUUUAAGAACCUUUAAAAAAAUUUUGAAUCGUUUACAUUUAGAACAUUAAAUUUUGGCAUCAAAUAAACGUUAAGCUUACCUGUAGAAGUUUUCAGAGCCUCCAAGCGCUACAAGUGCGUAUGAGUUUGUGAGAUUAGAAAAGACACCAAUCCUAUAAUUUGUUAAUAUCAUGCGUCUAUUAAGCAAAAAAGCUGAGUAAACUUACUCAUUAGAAUUCUCGAAUUGAGCACGAAGUGCCAUUUUGGUAAAGAAAAA